This 482-nucleotide ribosomal RNA is filed under the name uncultured bacterium. RNAcentral describes it as "partial 16S ribosomal RNA". It matches the Rfam family "Bacterial small subunit ribosomal RNA", at positions 28 to 507 of the family's 1533-position model. The record is from RNAcentral.
GACGAACGCUGGCGGCGUGCUUAACACAUGCAAGUCGAACGCUGAAGCUCAGCUUGCUGGGUGGAUGAGUGGCGAACGGGUGAGUAACACGUGAGUAACCUGCCCUCUUCUUUGGGAUAACGCCCGGAAACGGGUGCUAAUACUGGAUAUUCACUGAUUCUCGCAUGGGGGUUGGUGGAAAGGUUUUUUCUGGUGGGGGAUGGGCUCGCGGCCUAUCAGCUUGUUGGUGGGGUGAUGGCCUACCAAGGCUUUGACGGGUAGCCGGCCUGAGAGGGUGACCGGGCACAUUGGGACUGAGAUACGGCCCAGACUCCUACGGGAGGCAGCAGUGGGGAAUAUUGCACAAUGGGCGAAAGCCUGAUGCAGCGACGCCGCGUGAGGGAUGGAGGCCUUCGGGUUGUAAACCUCUUUCGCUCAUGGGCAAGCCGCAGCUUUGGGUUGUGGUGAGGGUAGUGGGUAAAGAAGCGCCGGCUAACUACGUG